UAGUUAUGUUCUUUAAACUUAAAGAAUUUGGCGGUAUUUUAUCUAUUCAGAGGAAUUUGCCCAUUAAUCGAUAGUCCUCGUUUUAUCUUACUUAAUUUUGUUUAUCAGUAUGUAUAUCGCUGUUAUAAGUUUAUUUUUUUAGAAUAAGAAUUUACUUUAUUUAUUAUUUUUAUUUAUUUCAAGUCAAGGUGCAGCUAAAUAAUUAAGUAUGUGGUGAAUUACAAUAUUUAUUUGAAUAUACGGAUUUGUUUCUUGAAAUGGGUUUUAAAGGUGGAUUUGUUAGUAAUUUUAAUUAUAAUGUUAUUUUGAUUUUAGCUCUAAAAUAAGUACACAUCGCCCG
RNAcentral lists this ribosomal RNA (340 nucleotides) under Orthonecroscia pulcherrima. RNAcentral's name for it is "partial small subunit ribosomal RNA". The record is from RNAcentral. Lineage: Eukaryota; Metazoa; Arthropoda; Insecta; Phasmatodea; Lonchodidae.